Molecule: long non-coding RNA, 419 nt
Organism: Melanotaenia boesemani (Boeseman's rainbowfish)
Lineage: Eukaryota; Metazoa; Chordata; Actinopteri; Atheriniformes; Melanotaeniidae
Exons: 5
Source: RefSeq, a predicted model, not a curated record
CCGCCCCUCCCCUUCUGCUGGCUUCGGCAAACAACUAGAGAGAGAAACUCCUGGUGGUUUAUCGACUGUUUGGCUGAGAGAUUGUUAGCUGCAUCCUGUGCUUCUGCUGCGACUCCGAGAGAACGGGGUUCAGGAUUCCUGCUUUGUCUGGUGUCCUGUGUCCUCCACCUCUCUUCCCCUCCCCAUCUACCUCUAUCAUUAUUGGACGCUCUAUCUUUCCUGUCACUCUAGUGCAUAUCUAUCUAAUUAUUGGACUCUAUCUUGUAUCCCAUCUAUCCCUGCUCUAUCUAGGGCAACAAGGCCCACCCUCUAUCUUGUAUCCCAUCUAUCCCUGCUCUAUCUAGGGCAACAAGGCCCACCCUCUAUCUUGUAUCCCAUCUAUCCUUGCUCUAUCUAGGGCAACAAGGCCCACCCUCUAU